RNAcentral lists this ribosomal RNA (440 nucleotides) under uncultured bacterium. RNAcentral's name for it is "partial 16S ribosomal RNA". It matches the Rfam family "Bacterial small subunit ribosomal RNA", at positions 338 to 795 of the family's 1533-position model. The record is from RNAcentral.
CCUACGGGAGGCUGCAGUGGGGAAUAUUGCACAAUGGGGGGAACCCUGAUGCAGCGACGCCGCGUGGGUGAGGAAGUACUUCGGUAUGUAAAGCCCUAUCAGCAGGGAAGAAAAUGACGGUACCUGACUAAGAAGCCCCGGCUAACUACGUGCCAGCAGCCGCUGUAAUCCGUAGGGGGAAAGCGUUAUCCGGAUUUACUGGGUGUAAAGGAAGAGUAGACGGCGGGCCAAGGCUGGUGGGAAAGGCCGGGGCUCAACCCCGGGACUGCCUUUGAAACUGGCAUGCUGGAGUGCCGGAGGGGUAAGCGGAAUGCGUAGUGUAGCGGUGAAAUGCGUAGAUAUUAGGAGGAACACCGGUGGCGAAGGCGGCUUGCUGGACGGUAACUGACGUUGAGGCUCGAAAGCGUGGGGAGCAAACAGGAUUAGAUACCCUUGUAGUC